This 253-nucleotide ribosomal RNA is filed under the name uncultured bacterium. Its description in RNAcentral is "partial 16S ribosomal RNA". It matches the Rfam family "Bacterial small subunit ribosomal RNA", at positions 524 to 776 of the family's 1533-position model. The record is from RNAcentral.
UACGGAGGGUGCGAGCGUUGUCCGGAAUUAUUGGGCGUAAAGAGCUCGUAGGCGGUCUGUCGCGUCGGAUGUGAAAGCCCGGGGCUUAACCCCGGGUCUGCAUUCGAUACGGGCAGACUAGAGUGUGGUAGGGGAGAUCGGAAUUCCUGGUGUAGCGGUGAAAUGCGCAGAUAUCAGGAGGAACACCGGUGGCGAAGGCGGAUCUCUGGGCCAUUACUGACGCUGAGGAGCGAAAGCGUGGGGAGCGAACAGG